This 119-nucleotide ribosomal RNA is filed under the name Aotus nancymaae (Ma's night monkey). Lineage: Eukaryota; Metazoa; Chordata; Mammalia; Primates; Aotidae. The record is from RNAcentral.
AUCUAUGGCCAUACAACCCUGAACGCCCCUGAACUUGUCUUAUCUCAGAAGCUGAGCAGGGUCAGGCCUGGUUAGUACUUCAAUGGGAGACUGCCUGGGAAUACCUGGUGCUGUAGGCU